GAUCAUGGCCAGGAUGAACGCUAGCGACAGGCUUAACACAUGCAAGUCGAGGGGCAUCAUGAGGUAGCAAUACCUUGAUGGCGACCGGCGCACGGGUGAGUAACGCGUAUGCAACCUGCCUGAUACCGGGGUAUAGCCCAUGGAAACGUGGAUUAACACCCCAUAGUACUUUAUCCUGCAUGGGAUGUGAGUUAAAUGUUCAAGGGGGUAUCGGAUGGGCAUGCGUCCUAUUAG
Molecule: ribosomal RNA, 234 nt
Filed under: uncultured bacterium
Lineage: Bacteria
Description: partial 16S ribosomal RNA
Rfam family: Bacterial small subunit ribosomal RNA
Source: RNAcentral